This 70-nucleotide transfer RNA is filed under the name Parborlasia corrugatus (corrugated ribbon worm). RNAcentral's name for it is "tRNA-Gln". The record is from RNAcentral. Lineage: Eukaryota; Metazoa; Nemertea; Pilidiophora; Heteronemertea; Lineidae.
UGCAAUGUAGUGUAGAGAUGCACGAAGAUUUUUGGAUUCUUAAGUAAUGGUUUUUGGCCAUUCCUUGCAG